RNAcentral lists this ribosomal RNA (407 nucleotides) under uncultured bacterium. Its description in RNAcentral is "partial 16S ribosomal RNA". It matches the Rfam family "Bacterial small subunit ribosomal RNA", at positions 30 to 526 of the family's 1533-position model. The record is from RNAcentral.
AUUGAACGUUAGCGGGAUGCUUUACACAUGCAAGUCGAACGGAGUGGCGGACGGGUGAGUAAUAUAUCGGAACGUGCCCAGUAGCGGGGGAUAACUACCCGAAAGAGCGGCUAAUACCGCAUACUCUUGGAGCGCCCCAUAUCGGAUGAGCUAGUUGGUGGGGUAAAGGCUCACCAAGGCAACGAUCCGUAGCUGGUUUGAGAGGACGACCAGCCACACGAGGACUGAGACGCGGGCCAAACUCCUACAGAGGGCAGCAGUGGGGAAUUUUGGACGAUGGGGGAAACCCUGAUCCAACCAGCCCGCGUGUAUGAUGAAGGCCUUCGAGUUGUAAAGUACUUUGAGCAAUAAGGCGGUAUCUGCAGAGUAAGCACCGGCUAACUACGUACCAGCAGCCGCGGUAAUAC